UCCAGGGGCUUUCGUCAGAGGGACUUACUAAACGCCACACUCCUGUGAGGCUGGAGCGUCCUUUCUGCUCUGGCGUUAGGAAUGGAAACCAAGUUAAAUCAAGGCAGUGUUUGUGCCACCAGACGGAUCUGUGUCCAGAAUGCUGCUCCUGCCCACAGCAGAACUGGUCACACGGCCAUUUCUAACUAAACUCCCUAGCCUCACAGGGAGGGCUCCAUCCGGGUGACCUGUGCGGGAAAGUGACGAACACAAGUGGGCCCACGCUGGGAAUUCAGUCACUUCUGAAAUACAAGCUUGUGAGGCCUGGUAGACCGCACAGGUAGGUAGGUCAUCUUGGUACAGGGACCUGGGUUUGAGCCCACCUUUGGAGCAUCACACACAGCACUAAGAAGCAGCUGCACAGAUGUGUCUGCUAAGUGUUACGGAACCUAGGCACGAGCUCUUAAAAACAGUUCUUCAGUUCUAUGUUAGGGAGUCGGGCGGGUAGCGCAGCGGGUUGAGAGCACGUGGCGCAAGGCGCAGGGACCGGCGUAAGGAUCCCGGUUUGAGCCCCUGGCUCCCCACUUGCAGGGGAGUCGCUUCACAGGCGGUGAAGCAGGUCUGCAGGUGUCUGUCUUUCUCUCCCCCUCUCUGUCUUCCCCUCCUCUCUCCAUUUCUCUCUGUCCUAUCCAACAACAAUGACAUCAAUGACAACAACAAUAAUAACCACAACAAUGAU
Erinaceus europaeus (western European hedgehog) is the source of this 718-nucleotide long non-coding RNA. RefSeq lists it as uncharacterized. Lineage: Eukaryota; Metazoa; Chordata; Mammalia; Eulipotyphla; Erinaceidae. The transcript is spliced from 2 exons. The record is from RefSeq and is a predicted model, not a curated record.